RNAcentral lists this ribosomal RNA (336 nucleotides) under uncultured bacterium. RNAcentral describes it as "bacterial SSU rRNA". It matches the Rfam family "Bacterial small subunit ribosomal RNA", at positions 335 to 666 of the family's 1533-position model. The record is from RNAcentral.
ACUCCUACGGGAGGCAGCAGUGGGAAUGAUUGGACAAUGGCGAAGCCUGAUCCAGCCAUGCCGCGUGUGUGAAGAAGGCCCUCGGGUUGUAAAGCACUUUCAGUGAGGAAGAACGCUUGUGGCUAAUACCCUGCAAGGAAGACAUCACUCACAGAAGAAGCACCGGCUAACUCCGUGCCAGCAGCCGCGGUAAUACGGAGGGUGCGAGCGUUAAUCGGAAUUACUGGGCGUAAAGCGCAUGCAGGCGGCCUGUUAAGUCAGAUGUGAAAGCCCGGGGCUUAACCUCGGAAUUGCAUUUGAAACUGGCAGGCUAGAGUCUUGUAGAGGGGGGUAGAA